Molecule: long non-coding RNA, 1911 nt
Filed under: Physcomitrium patens
Lineage: Eukaryota; Viridiplantae; Streptophyta; Bryopsida; Funariales; Funariaceae
Description: long non-coding RNA (PPAT_LNC000978)
Source: RNAcentral
UACACUAUUCCAAGGCGUUGGUUUGCUUCCACGAACGCCUCCGUAGUCAGUGCUAUUACAUCAUCAUUAGUGCUAAUUUCAUCGUUCGAUGUUAAUUUAGAUGCUCGCAAUUGAGAUUCCCCGUUAUAAUGUACUGGAUACAUUUGUAACACCAUUUUAUCUCCGCCCUUACCAAUUGUUAAAGUAUCCCUGUGAACAAAAAUUAACCCCCCUUUAGUGAAGAGGCUAAUUCUAAUCACAAGAUCCUAAUUAUAGUCCAACCUUGGCAUUUUAUAACUUAUGUUGAUUUCCUGGUUAAUUGCUUAAUUCAUUAAUCUAAUUUCUAUCUUUAUCCUUAUGUUUAUCUUGAUUUUUUUAUUUUUUUUUAUUUUUAUUUUUUUUGUAGUUUUCUUUUACUUAAAUCCUUCACCAUUCUUGAACCCUGGAAUUAUCCAAUUGUGUCGCUUAAUUAUCAUUUAAUUAUUAUUUAAAUAUUUUUUAGUUUAUUUUAUUUAUUAUUUGUUUUUAAAUUCAUUUUUAUUUUAUUUUUAUUUUAUUUUUAUUUUAUUUUUUUUAUUUUUUAUUUUUUUAUUUUAAUUUUUGGAUUAACCUUCCAACUUCAGAUGACUAUAUCCUUGCGAGUUUACGUCCGAAUUUAAAGUUUUUUACGUCUAAUGUUAUUAAAUUCAAUAAUCAACUUGAUGGGACAGCAUGCCUUCACUUCAUGCCUCAUGUUCAAUGUCAACUAGACUGUGAGCACUCAACUUCCAAGGAGGAUACAUUCAGAUUCAAGACCAUACAACUACCAAGAUUGCAUGGAAUUCAUGACUUGUCACGCAAGGGGAGAUCCAAGGAUUUUGACCUAAUCCUAAGCAAUUUGGCCAGCGCUUCCGCGUCAAUCGGAAAUUCCGGUUCUGGCACUACAACUCCUAGCAGCUCAACUGUGCAUCACCAACCAUCAUCAAUUGAAGGGAAAAGAGGAAGGAAGUUGGUAACCUCCUUAGCUACCAAGGUCAUGAUUCUGGUUGUGGCUGCAACCCUCCUCGCACUAGUCGCCUCCGCUCUCUCCACCCCUACCCCGCUGCUGCUUGUUUUCCUCAGGCGUCUACACAGGCCUUGCUGACGGCCUCACGGUGGCCUUCUCUCGAUCUGCCCAGGCGCGGCCUCCUUCACCGUCGCUUCCACGUUCUCUCCUACCUCCGAGUCCGUGCGGACAGAACCCCCGCCGAUCAGCUCUCUCCUCUCGGAACGGCGCCUGCCUGCUCCCGAUCUGCCCAGGCGCGGCUGACUUCCGUGCGGGCUUCGUCUUGCUCCGAUCGCAAUCCUACCGGUCUCCGCCUUGUUGACCUGGGGGUUCCCUCCUUCUGGGUCCGGGCUCUUCCCUCAUAGACUCCCAGCUCCCGUUCAACGGCAAUCCUACCUCCUUCACCGCUGCGGCCUCUCGAUCACCCCGAUUCAGAUAGACCCCAUCUUCCCGAGACCCCGCCGAGACAUCACACACAAGACCGCCAUCCCGACCCCCUCACUCCAUCCUCCGACCUCUACCCUAUUCUUUUCCCUGGCCGACUCACUCCGCGGCUCCCUUCUUCGCCGUUGCAUUGGCGCGAUUCCCCCGAGACUCUUUUCUUGGUGGACCUCUAUCCCCUACUCCCUAGCGCUUCUCUCCUACCACCCUUCCGCGACUGGGUCUCCUCCCUACAGACCGCCGUCUCUCUCUUCCCCCUGCUCGUAGUUCCGUUGCGUCCUCCAGCCAGCUUCCGCGACUACUCCCCCCUCCCGCGUCGAUCCCUGGUCUCCUCCUCCUCUCUCCGAUCGACUCCCCUCUGGCCCCGCCUACCCCACUUGCGCUGCCUGCCUGGACGGCGCGGCUGGUCCUCCGGGACCAGUCUAAUUCUGGGGAAUAUUCCCUAGGAAAGCCCCAAAUCCCCCCUC